UACGUAGGGUGCGAGCGUUGUCCGGAAUUACUGGGCGUAAAGGGCUCGUAGGCGGUUUGUCGCGUCGGGAGUGAAAACACCGGGCUUAACUCGGUGCUUGCUUUCGAUACGGGCAGACUAGAGGCAUGCAGGGGAGAACGGAAUUCCUGGUGUAGCGGUGAAAUGCGCAGAUAUCAGGAGGAACACCGGUGGCGAAGGCGGUUCUCUGGGCAUGUCCUGACGCUGAGGAGCGAAAGUGUGGGGAGCGAACAGG
This 253-nucleotide ribosomal RNA is filed under the name uncultured bacterium. RNAcentral describes it as "partial 16S ribosomal RNA". It matches the Rfam family "Bacterial small subunit ribosomal RNA", at positions 524 to 776 of the family's 1533-position model. The record is from RNAcentral.